Molecule: long non-coding RNA, 316 nt
Filed under: Elaeis guineensis (African oil palm)
Lineage: Eukaryota; Viridiplantae; Streptophyta; Magnoliopsida; Arecales; Arecaceae
Description: long non-coding RNA (EGUI_LNC033919)
Source: RNAcentral
UGUAAGCAUGUCCAAGUACUUUUUAGAAGAAUAGUGUUGGGUUCCGAUGGCACAGUGGAAGGUUAGAUGUUUAAAAUUUUAUUCAAAAUACCUGAUGCACCGAAAAUCCUAAUGCUCAGAAACUCUUGACUAUAUCAAUCAAAGUAUAAUUAAAAUAAAUUUACAUCAAAAAAAUAUCUGUAGUGCUAAUAUAAUUUUUACAAGACAUCUAAGUGUUUGCCCUCCAAUGAUAAUCCACACAAAAAUUGAACAAAGGACAAAGCUUCUCCUUCACCAUGCUUCAAGAGUUCUAGCCCCUAAAACUCGACUAGCCACC